This 466-nucleotide ribosomal RNA is filed under the name uncultured bacterium. RNAcentral's name for it is "partial 16S ribosomal RNA". It matches the Rfam family "Bacterial small subunit ribosomal RNA", at positions 29 to 507 of the family's 1533-position model. The record is from RNAcentral.
AUGAACGCUGGCGGCGCGCCUAACACAUGCCAGUCGAACGAUUAAAGCACCUUCGGGUGUGUAUAAAGUGGCGAACGGCUGAGUAACACGUGGGCAACCUGCCCCUUUCAUUGGGAUAGCCACGGGAAACCGUGGAUAAUACCGAAUACUUCGAGACUUCCGCAUGGAAGACUCGAGAAAGCUCCGGCGGAGAGGGAUGGGCCCGCGGCCUGUUAGCUUGUUGGUGGGGUAACGGCCUACCAAGGCAAUGAUGGGUAGCUGGGUUGAGAGACCGACCAGCCAGAUUGGGACUGAGACACGGCCCAGACUCCUACGGGAGGCAGCAGUGGGGAAUCUUGCACAAUGGGCGAAAGCCUGAUGCAGCGACGCCGCGUGCGGGAUGAAGGCCUUCGGGUUGUAAACCGCUUUCAGCAGGGACGAGGCGAAAGUGACGGUACCUGCAGAAGAAGCCCCGGCUAACUACGUG